GAUUACUUGAAAUGCCGAUGAUACAAUAACAACUAACUUCUAUCUCCUGUACCAAUUAAUAAACUUCUUGAGCAUUUUCAUUUAAGUAAUGAUACCAUGAGGAAGACCGAUACUCAGGGAAUAAGGGAUACUAACAUAUAGAAGUUCUUGCAUUAAUUUUAUAUUUAUGAUGCCCUAAACUGGAAUAAAUACAUUUCAUUUGGAACGGUGUGGACCAGAGCCCUUCUAGCAGUGCUACUAAUAAUAUCAGCUUGAAAGGCACUAUUAUUAGAUGUCUGAUUCUAUAAGAGGAGUAUAUGGCUGCCAGUGAAGACACUGUAGAUAAAGGGGAUGGAAGAGCAGUAAAAAAGCUCGCGUCUACAAAGUCUCUGCGCCACUCGUUUGUGCGAUUCUGUAAUGCUUCAAAAGUGAUUGUUGAUGUCUUCUGGAUUAAUUAUGAAGGCAAGUCAGUACUGUACAAAAGGUUGCUUCCAUACAAGUGGAUGGAUGUGAACACAUUUGAAGGGCACCCAUGGAUCUUCCUGAACGCCCAAACUGGAGACAAAAUGGUGGUAGCCAAUAAUGAUGUAUACUUUCCUGCGUCCUCGGCACAGUCUGAGGAUGAUGAAAGGCUAAAAGUCAGGACUCUGGUCACCAUUACCCUUCCAUUGUAUUCGCUGCAGGAGUGUUGUGUACGUGCAGUUAGACAUUUAGUUGCAGAGGACAAGGUUAGACACCUUGAAAUCACAGACAUGCUUAAGACAGAGAUUCUGCACAGUGUUCAAAACUUGAAUAAGAAAAGCACUAUCACAAGCACAGCGCAGUGGGAAGAAUUGUUACAUUGACUGAGAUUUCAAAAUGGGUCUGUACCCAUCAAACUGGGAAUACCAUGCAUUAAGCAUUUAAUACUUGUGGCUUACAGGUAGAACAUGGGGUUUUAAUGGUGUAAGCACUGUACUUGAAGAACACGAAUAUUUAGUCCACUGAUAUUCUCAUUUAUAAUGUCAUUGGUGCCAGAAGAAUUGUAAAUUGUGUUACAGGGGCUAGUGCAAGAUACAGAUAUCCUGUUCCAUAGAAGACCAUGAGGCUCUCAAACGGCCUAGUACACCAUGUGCACUGUGCUUCUCUUAAACUCUUAUGUGAAAAACCAGUUACAUGUACAUGUGGCAGGUUAAGGUUGAGUCUGGCCUUGAAACAGCUCCCAUGUUUUGGUACCAGUGUAUAAACUGUUGAACACUAUUUACAUUGUUUUCACUGAUCAUGGUUAAGACUCACUCGUUUUGUUAGUCUCAAUAAAUGUUCCUUUUUUCUA
RNA transcript from Dreissena polymorpha, 1291 nucleotides. It is a transcript of the gene named von Hippel-Lindau disease tumor suppressor-like, with no coding region annotated. NCBI's taxonomy places the organism in Eukaryota, Metazoa, Mollusca, Bivalvia, Myida, Dreissenidae. The record is from RefSeq and is a predicted model, not a curated record. The transcript is spliced from 6 exons.